CCUACGGGAGGCAGCAGUGAGGAAUAUUGGUCAAUGGGCGUAAGCCUGAACCAGCCAAGUCGCGUGAGGGAUGAAGGUUCUAUGGAUCGUAAACCUCUUUUAUAAGGGAAUAAAGUGUGGGACGUGUCCUGUUUUGUAUGUACCUUAUGAAUAAGGAUCGGCUAACUCCGUGCCAGCAGCCGCGGUAAUACGGAGGAUCCGAGCGUUAUCCGGAUUUAUUGGGUUUAAAGGGUGCGUAGGCGGCCUUUUAAGUCAGCGGUGAAAGUCUGUGGCUCAACCAUAGAAUGGCCGUUGAAACUGGGAGGCUUGAGUAUGUUUGAGGCAGGCGGAAUGCGUGGUGUAGCGGUGAAAUGCUUAGAUAUCACGCAGAACCCCGAUUGCGAAGGCAGCCUGCCAGGCCAUGACUGACGCUGAUGCACGAAAGCGUGGGGAUCAAACAGGAUUAGAUACCCCAGUAGUC
RNAcentral lists this ribosomal RNA (460 nucleotides) under uncultured bacterium. RNAcentral's name for it is "partial 16S ribosomal RNA". It matches the Rfam family "Bacterial small subunit ribosomal RNA", at positions 338 to 795 of the family's 1533-position model. The record is from RNAcentral.